ACCACUUGGGGAUAACCUUGCGAAAGUAAGACUAAUACCCAAUGACGUCUCUAGAAGACAUCUGAAAGAGAUUAAAGAUUUAUCGGUGAUGGAUGGGGAUGCGUCUGAUUAGCUUGUUGGCGGGGUAACGGCCCACCAAGGCGACGAUCAGUAGGGGUUCUGAGAGGAAGGUCCCCCACAUUGGAACUGAGACACGGUCCAAACUCCUACGGGAGGCAGCAGUGAGGAAUAUUGGUCAAUGGGCGAGAGCCUGAACCAGCCAAGUAGCGUGCAGGAUGACGGCCCUAUGGGUUGUAAACUGCUUUUAUAAGGGAAUAAAGUGAGUCUCGUGAGACUUUUUGCUUGUACCUUAUGAAUAAGGACCGGCUAAUUCCGUGCCAGCAGCCGCGGUAAUACGGAAGGUCCGGGCGUUAUCCGGAUUUAUUGGGUUUAAAGGGAGCGUAGGCCGGAGAUUAAGCGUGUUGUGAAAUGUAGACGCUCAACGUCUGCACUGCAGCGCGAACUGGUUUCCUUGAGUACGCACAAAGUGGGCGGAAUUCGUGGUGUAGCGGUGAAAUGCUUAGAUAUCACGAAGAACUCCGAUUGCGAAGGCAGCUCACUGGAGCGCAACUGACGCUGAAGCUCGAAAGUGCGGGUAUCGAACAGGAUUAGAUACCCUGGUAGUCCGCACGGUAAACGAUGGAUGCCCGCUGUUGGUCUGAAUAGGUCAGCGGCCAAGCGAAAGCAUUAAGCAUCCCACCUGGGGAGUACGCC
RNAcentral lists this ribosomal RNA (753 nucleotides) under uncultured bacterium. RNAcentral describes it as "bacterial SSU rRNA". It matches the Rfam family "Bacterial small subunit ribosomal RNA", at positions 132 to 886 of the family's 1533-position model. The record is from RNAcentral.